GUUAGAUGAAGUCUGUUGUGAAGAUUAUUCUAAUGGCUUUUUCUAAUGUCUGUUGUGAAGAUUAUUCUAAUGGCUUAUUUUAAUGGAAGCCAUUCUCUUCUGUCGAAGAUGCUCCACUCACAGGAAUCGUGGACAGCAAAGGUCUUCACAUGAACUGCAGUAUGGUGGACAGCAGUCUUCACAUGGACUGCAGCAUUGUGGACAGCAAAGUAUAUUUCUUUAUUGCAUGCGUGUGUAUUUUGAUGUAUAUAAAUAUCUGCUGCUAUUGCAGCAGAUGUGUAUGAUAAUAUAUUCAAUCCAUUUCUUUUAUGGUAUCUAGAGCUUUUUUUGUCUAACGACAACGAUCCUCGUUUUCCUAUCCUUCCCAUCCUCGCUUCCAUGGCUGAAACCAAUGUUUCUGCUAGUUCAUCCACCCUCCCAAACAACUCGUUUCAUCCGUUUUCCACUGUUGUUAAUAUCAAACUGGAUAGAACCAACUACCCACUGUGGUUGGCUCAAAUACUUCCUAUCCUAAAAAGUAGGGAUCUGAUGGGAUAUGUUGAUGGCACGCUGGUGUGUCCUCCAAAGAAUGUGACUGGUGCAACCACUCUGAACCCAGCGUAUACUGCCUGGGUACAACAGGAUCAAAUGAUCCUCAGUUGGAUAAAUGGUUCUCUAACUACCUCUGUCUUGUCUGUGGUGGCAAGCAAACGAACUGCUCGAGCAACCUGGGAAGCUCUUGAGCAAAGGUACGCCUCUACUUCUCAAAAUAGAAUUUUGUUUUUGAGAAAUGAGUUGUUGCAGACCAAGAAAGGUGAUCUAUCUGUGGUGGAUUACCUAGAUCGCAUGAAUGCGAUAGCUGAUAACCUUGCCCUAGCUGGGCAUCCUGUGAGUGAUGAUGAGCUCGUGCAGAUUGUGUUGAACAAUCUUGGACCGGCCUUUGAGAUGACAGUAAGUGCUGCACAAGCUCGUGAUAAUCCUAUCACGUAUCCCACUCUUGAAGCACUCCUGCUCACAACCGAAAGAAGAAUGGCGGACCAAACUGUCCCUUUGGUGGAAGGUGCUACUGUCAAUGCCUUCAUUGCGUCUAGAGGCCGUGGUGGAGGCCGCUCUCGUGGAAAUGGACGAGGCACCUCUCCAACCACUCGUGGUGCUCAAAGAAGCUACAACCCACGUAAUAAUAAUUAUCAGCGCAAUCCUUCAGGUAAUAUUGAAAGAUCGGCUUCAUAUGGUGAUCGCAUUGUUUGCCAAAUCUGCGGCAAACCUGGACAUCCCGCUCUUGACUGCUACCACCGCAUGAAUACUGCUUUUGAAGGCCGAAUUCCUGCCCAACGUCUCUCGGCAAUGACGUCCUCCACCAUCCCCAUCAACAAGCAGCAAAAUGGAAAUUGGCUCCUGGACACAGGUGCCAACGCACAUAUUACUCCCGACUUUCAGAAUUUGGUAAAUCCUAAAGACUAUACUGGUAAAGAUGGUGUGGGAGGUAUAGGUAAUACUUCUGGAAUUUCUAUUGCACAUUGUGGUUCAACUCAACUUAAUACUACUGCUUGCUCAUUUGCUUUACAAGAUAUCCUUCAUUGCCCUACUGCUUCUACCAAUAUCAUCUCCGCCCAUAGGUUCACCUUAGACAAUGACUGUUAUUUACUAAUCUUUCCACAUUUUUUCCUUGUUAAGGACCUCAAGACACGGAAGACGCUUUUCCGAGGGAGAUGUGAGAAUGGGUUAUACCCAUUUCCAAAUGGCAGUGGUCACCUCAAGUAUCCAGUUUCUGCGUUUGUGGGCGUUAGGGUGUCUGUUCAAAAGUGGCAUGCUCGUCUUGGUCACCCUGCCAAACCAAUAAUCAAGUUUUUAAUUUCAAAUAAAUUUGUACCAAUUCAUGGUACAUCUAAUGUCAUCUUUUGUGAGUCAUGUCCUUUAGGAAAGAGUACUCGGUUACCUUUCAGUAAGUCUGAGUCUGUCUCUCAAUUUCCUUUGCAACUUUUACAUUCUGAUGUGUGGUGUUCUCCAAUUAUUUCUAAUGAAGGUUUUCGUUAUUAUCUGUUGUUUGUGGAUGAUUAUUCCCGAUAUUCUUGGAUCUUUCCCAUGAAACAAAAAUCUGAAGUUUUUGACAUAUUUGUAAAGUUUAAAGUUAAGGUUGAAAAGAUGUUUAACUGUUCAAUUAAAACCCUUCAAUGUGAUGAAGGUGGUGAAUAUAAAAGUCAUGCCUUUCAAAACUUUCUUGGCGUCCAUGGAAUUUCUCAACGUUUUUCUUGUCCAAAACAUCCUGAACAAAAUGGAUUGGCAGAACGGAAACACCGACACAUUGUCGAAACCAGUAUUGUUAUGCUUUCUCAAUCUCAUAUGCCUAAUAAGUUUUGGUUUGAUGCAUGCUUAACUGCUACAUACUUGAUAAACCGUCUGCCAACUCGUGUACUAUCAAACAUAUCUCCUUUUGAGAAAUUGUUUCAAAGAAAACCAAAUUAUGCCAUGUUAAAAGUUUUUGGUUGUCGUUGUUUUCCUUGGUUAACACCAUAUAAUCAAAAUAAAUUACAACCAAAAUCCAAGUCAUGUGUCUUUCUUGGGUAUUCUCUUGAUCAUCAAGGAUACAAAUGUUUGGAUCUGUCCACAAGACGAGUUUACUUGUCUCGCCAUGUCCUAUUCGAUGAGGAUUUUUUCCCUUUUAAGGGACUCACAUCUCCUCCUGAAAGCGUUGCAGCCCAAGGUAACAAUCUUUUACCCCAAUUAUUAUUUACUUUUCCCUUAACCACAACUGUUCCUGUGUGUCCUACUACACCAAAUACCCAUAGUGCCCAGUCCUCUCUUGAUACUUCUAUCACGCCACAUAUCUCUUCCUCUCCUGGUCUAACAUCUCCACCCCCAAUACCAUUACCAUCUAACCAUUCCUUAGGAUCCACACUACAAUCACAUGAGCAAGUGUUAGUCAAUUCACAUUCUUUGCCACCUAAUGUGUCUAGUGAUACUGGCCACUCUAUGACUACACGUUCCAAGUCUGGAGUUGUCAAACCCAAUCCAAAGUAUGCUAUGCAUGUUACCAUUAAAGAUAUUCCUGUUGAACCAACAUGCUUCAGUCAGGCAGUCAAGCAUCCUGAGUGGAGGGAAGCUAUGGUGCAAGAAUUUAAUGCAUUACAAAGGUGUGGCACGUGGAGUUUAGUUCCACAUCAAUCUGACAUGAAUGUACUGCCAAAUAAAUGGGUGUUCAAAAUUAAGCGCAAAGCGGAUGGCACUGUUGAGCGUCAUAAAGCUCGGUUAGUGGCUAAUGGUUUUCAUCAGAAGGCUGGCGUGGAUUACACUGAAACUUUCAGUCCUGUGGUUAAACACAGCACCAUUCGUUUUGUCUUAAGUCUUGCUGUGUCAAAGAAAUGGCCUGUCCGCCAACUGGAUGUAUCAAAUGCGUUCUUGCAUGGCUACUUAAAUGAACAUGUUUACAUGCGGCAACCAUCAGGCUUCAUUGACAAACAGUUUCCAAAUCAUGUUUGUAAGCUGCAACGUUCUAUUUAUGGUUUAAAACAAGCACCUAGGGCUUGGUUCCAACGCUUCUCAGAUUUCUUGCUUCAACUGGGCUUUGAGGAGUCCACAUGUGAUUACAGUUUGUUUGUGUUUAAUCAACGGGGUGUAUAUCUCAUUCUUUUAAUCUAUGUUGAUGACAUUCUUCUCACAGGGAAUAGUCCUCGCCAGAUGGAUCAUUUGAUUAAGAAACUUGGUAGUUUGUUUUCAAUGAAGGAUUUGGGAUCACUAAGUUAUUUCCUGGGUAUUGAGGUCACGUAUAAUGGUGAUUUCAUGCAUCUCUGUCAGUCCAAAUAUGCUCGGGAUCUACUGACUAGAACUACAUUCACAGACGCAAAGCCCAUUUCCACUCCAGUGCCGUCUGGUCAGAAGUUGAGUGCCUAUGCUGGAGAUCCUUUUGCCAAUCCAGAGAUGUAUCGUAGUGUUGUUGGGGCACUACAGUAUCUUACGAUCACUCGGCCAGAUUUAUCAUAUGCUGUGAAUCAAGUGUGCCAGUUCAUGCACUCUCCAAAAACAACGCACUGGAUGGCUGUAAAGCGAAUCCUACGGUAUCUGAAGGCUACGUAUAAUCAUGGGCUAUUGUAUAAACCAGGAACUGUGGAGUUGACAGCAUUUUCUGAUGCAGAUUAUGCUGGCAACCCCGAUACUCGUCACUCCACAGGUGGUUUCUGUGUUUAUUUGGGUUCCAACCUUGUAUCCUGGAGUUCAAAAAAACAAAAGACAGUAUCGAGGUCGAGUGCAGAGGCAGAGUAUAGGCAGUUAGCUUAUACUGCAGCAGAGUUAUCAUGGUUAAGGUCUCUUUAUAAAGACCUCCAUCUCCAUCUGGUUCAACCAACCAUUUGGUGUGACAAUGUUUCUUCAAUUGCCCUUGCGUCCAAUCCGGUUUUUCAUUCGAGAACCAAGCAUCUUGAGGUUGACUAUCAUUAUGUUCGUGAGAAGGUUGUUCGUGGUCAGUUGUUGGUCAAUUAUGUGUGUUCCCAGGACCAACUUGCUGACAUUUUCACUAAAGGAUUGUCUUCGUCCAGAUUUCAGUUCCUUAUCUCCAAGCUCCCAGUUGUACCACCCCCUGUUAGCUUGCGGGGGGCUGUUAGAUGAAGUCUGUUGUGAAGAUUAUUCUAAUGGCUUUUUCUAAUGUCUGUUGUGAAGAUUAUUCUAAUGGCUUAUUUUAAUGGAAGCCAUUCUCUUCUGUCGAAGAUGCUCCACUCACAGGAAUCGUGGACAGCAAAGGUCUUCACAUGAACUGCAGUAUGGUGGACAGCAGUCUUCACAUGGACUGCAGCAUUGUGGACAGCAAAGUAUAUUUCUUUAUUGCAUGCGUGUGUAUUUUGAUGUAUAUAAAUAUCUGCUGCUAUUGCAGCAGAUGUGUAUGAUAAUAUAUUCAAUCCAUUUCUUUUAC
This 4879-nucleotide long non-coding RNA is filed under the name Malus domestica (apple). RNAcentral describes it as "long non-coding RNA (MDOM_LNC000965)". The record is from RNAcentral. Lineage: Eukaryota; Viridiplantae; Streptophyta; Magnoliopsida; Rosales; Rosaceae.